GACGAACGCUGGCGGCGUGCUUAACACAUGCAACUCGAACGGAAAGGCCCUGCUUUUGUGGGGUGCUCGAGUGGCGAACGGGUGAGUAACACGUGAGUAACCUGCCCUUGACUUUGGGAUAACUUCAGGAAACUUGGGCUAAUACCGGAUAGUAGCUCCUGCUGCAUGGUGGGGGUUGGAAAGUUUCGGCGGUUGGGGAUGGACUCGCGGCUUAUCAGCUUGUUGGUGGGGUAGUGGCUUACCAAGGCUUUGACGGGUAGCCGGCCUGAGAGGGUGACCGGCCACAUUGGGACUGAGAUACGGCCCAGACUCCUACGGGAGGCAGCAGUGGGGAAUAUUGCACAAUGGGCGGAAGCCUGAUGCAGCAACGCCGCGUGCGGGAUGACGGCCUUCGGGUUGUAAACCGCUUUCGCCUGUGACGAAGCGUGAGUGACGGUAAUGGGUAAAGAAGCACCGGCUAACUACGUG
This 468-nucleotide ribosomal RNA is filed under the name uncultured bacterium. RNAcentral describes it as "partial 16S ribosomal RNA". It matches the Rfam family "Bacterial small subunit ribosomal RNA", at positions 28 to 507 of the family's 1533-position model. The record is from RNAcentral.